Cebus imitator (Panamanian white-faced capuchin) is the source of this 79-nucleotide microRNA precursor. Ensembl annotates it as microRNA 484. Its record names the gene MIR484. The record is from Ensembl. Lineage: Eukaryota; Metazoa; Chordata; Mammalia; Primates; Cebidae.
AGCCUCGUCAGGCUCAGUCCCCUCCCGAUAAACCCCUAAAUAGGGACUUUCCCGGGGGGUGACCCUGGCUUUUUUGGCG